This 215-nucleotide unclassified non-coding RNA is filed under the name uncultured Resinomycena. RNAcentral describes it as "sequence contains ITS2". The record is from RNAcentral. Lineage: Eukaryota; Fungi; Basidiomycota; Agaricomycetes; Agaricales; Tricholomataceae.
AAUUAUCAACCUUGAAGGCUUUGUUGCUCUUCUUGGCUUGGAUGUGAGGGCUUGCUGGCUUCCUUCAGUGGAUUGGUCUGCUCCCUUUAAAUGCAUUAGUGGGAUCUCUUGUGGACCGUCACUGGGUGUGAUAAUUAUCUAUGCCUCUUGACUUUGAAGCAAGCUUUAUGGGACCCUGCUCACAACCGUCCUUAAGCUGGACAAUUCAAAUCUUA